This 70-nucleotide transfer RNA is filed under the name Methanobacteriota archaeon. RNAcentral describes it as "Euryarchaeota archaeon tRNA-Met". It matches the Rfam family "tRNA". From Rfam's summary of the family: Transfer RNA (tRNA) molecules are approximately 80 nucleotides in length. Their secondary structure includes four short double-helical elements and three loops (D, anti-codon, and T loops). The record is from RNAcentral. Lineage: Archaea; Methanobacteriati; Methanobacteriota.
GCGGCCUGGUGCAACGGUGAGCAUCUCGCCUUCAUGAGGCGAGGAUCGGGGUUCGAAUCCCCGGGCCGCA